GGAUAUGAUGAUGGAUUGAUUGUCGCCCCAGUCUAAGUAUCACUUUUAAUGUGUUGCGUGAUGAUUGGCAAUUUUACAUGCUGAAUC
This is a non-coding RNA of Picea glauca (white spruce), 87 nucleotides long. The record is from Rfam. NCBI's taxonomy places the organism in Eukaryota, Viridiplantae, Streptophyta, Pinopsida, Pinales, Pinaceae.